AGCGGAGCGUGUGGUUUAAUUCGAUGCAACGCGAAGAACCUUACCUGGGCUUGACAUGUACGUAGUAGUGAAGGGAAACCGGAACGAGCCUUCGGGCAGCGUAGACAGGUGCUGCAUGGCUGUCGUCAGCUCGUGUCGUGAGAUGUUGGGUUAAGUCCCGCAACGAGCGCAACCCGUGUUGCUAGUUACAAGUGUCUAGCGAGACUGCCGGUAAAAAGCCGGAGGAAGGUGCGGAUGAUGUCAAGUCAGCAUGGCCUAUAUGUCCAGGGCUACACACACGCUACAAUGG
RNAcentral lists this ribosomal RNA (289 nucleotides) under uncultured bacterium. RNAcentral's name for it is "partial 16S ribosomal RNA". It matches the Rfam family "Bacterial small subunit ribosomal RNA", at positions 932 to 1233 of the family's 1533-position model. The record is from RNAcentral.